This 724-nucleotide long non-coding RNA is filed under the name Homo sapiens (human). RNAcentral's name for it is "long intergenic non-protein coding RNA 2395". Lineage: Eukaryota; Metazoa; Chordata; Mammalia; Primates; Hominidae. The record is from RNAcentral.
UGAAGAUGAACCUAGCAGUAGUAUUUACACCACUUGUUGUGUGCCCACUGUGGGCCCGGCGCCAUGCCGAGUGCUCUAUGGAUGUGAGAGAAACGGAGGCCCAGAAAGCAGAAAUGAUGUGUUAAGAUCACUCAUCAAGCUGAUGGUACAGAGAUGAGAACACUGAAGCAGUUUUUUCUAAAGAUAGCUGCCUGGCACAGUGGCUCACAUCUGUAGUCCCAGCAUUUGGGGAGGCCAAGGCAGGUGGAUCACUUGAGGCCAGGAAUUCAAGACCAGCAUGGCCAACAUGUUUUCCAUCCUUCCUUCAGUGCUGGGAGAGAAAAGCAUACGACAUAGACAGGGAGGUCAAGCUCCACCACGCAGAUGAGGUGCAGGCCACCAGUCUUCCUCUGCCACAUCUCUUUCUGAAAAGGCAGCCUGUGCUGAGAAACCAUGACUGAGUAAGCCAAGCUUUGUUGGCCGCACCUGCCAAGCCACAGGGUGCCUCAGGCUUGGAGCAUCCCGGAGCCAGUUACAACCCAAGACUUCAGCCUUCUGGAAGGUGUUGGGUCAGCCACCCUGAAGGACGAUCCUGCCCAAGUGACAUGCUUUGCUCUUCCUUCUCACCCAGGACUUCACAUUCACCCUUGCAAUCCAUGUGGGGACACUGUUGGAUAGGAGGCGUGGUCCCAGCGUGGUCUCCCUGUCUGGGCCUCUGCCUAUGCCAAAUGUUUGCCUUACGCUG